UACGGGGGGGGCAAGCGUUGUUCGGAAUUACUGGGCGUAAAGGGCUCGUAGGCGGCCAACUAAGUCAUACGUGAAAUCCCUCGGCUUAACCGGGGAACUGCGUCUGAUACUGGAUGGCUUGAGUUCGGGAGAGGGAUGCGGAAUUCCAGGUGUAGCGGUGAAAUGCGUAGAUAUCUGGAGGAACACCGGUGGCGAAGGCGGCAUCCUGGACCGGUAUUGACACUGAGGCGCGAAAGCCAGGGGAGCAAACGGG
RNAcentral lists this ribosomal RNA (253 nucleotides) under uncultured bacterium. RNAcentral's name for it is "partial 16S ribosomal RNA". It matches the Rfam family "Bacterial small subunit ribosomal RNA", at positions 524 to 776 of the family's 1533-position model. The record is from RNAcentral.